Molecule: long non-coding RNA, 1711 nt
Organism: Arachis stenosperma
Lineage: Eukaryota; Viridiplantae; Streptophyta; Magnoliopsida; Fabales; Fabaceae
Exons: 4
Source: RefSeq, a predicted model, not a curated record
AUAAGAACUCCCAUGAAAAAUAAAAUUGAAAGACAGGGAAUACCUUUUUUUGGGUAUCCAACAUUUGAGAUUUUUUUUAAACAACUGGACGAAUCAAGUUUACUGUUUUUACUAUCUUCUGCAGGUAGCUUGUGUACAUAGCUAGAUGUAAUCCUAUACCUUUGGCUAUAUAUCUUCAUUUUAAUUCUAAGUUCAUUUGAGGUGGUAAUUAAGCUGGAUUGAUGUGUUGGGAACCAGAAACUGUGUUCUCUGAUCUUGCCUUCAUGUUAUUGAAAAGCAAAGACAUGAUGGAGAAAUUUGGAGUGACACUUAUUAUUGAAAAGCUUUUCUUGUUAUCGAUUUGGAGACUUUGUCAAACAGAUUUCCCAAGGUGACAACUAAUGCCGUCAAAGAAUAUGAUUCCCACAUUUAAAGAUGACAAUCCUGUACCUGAAAUAGUCAUUAGAAGGUGAAGUUGUAGAGAUGCCAUCAGACAACAAUUUCAUUCCUAUCAACUUCACUCAUUGAUCUUUAUCUGGAGAUACAUUGAGGAUUAAGCGGCAAUUGCCAUGAGAGAAUUGCAGUUCUGGGUUGGAUCUUGAAUGGCAGUUUCAGUCAAAACAAGCAACAGAAAUGCAGUCAUUUUCCACAUUUACUUUUGUUUUUUCAAAGAAAAAUAAGAUAGAAGAUUACUGUAAAAUCCCUAUAAUACCCUUACUCAUCUUUUUCUCAAACCAAACUUUAACCCUAACUUCCUAAAUUACCAACACACACCCACUCCCCCAAAUCAGAGAAGAGUGAGGAUUGGGAAGAAGAAGAGAGAGUCACGGAUCAGGAAGAGAGAAGGAGAAGGAGAUCGAAAUAGGGAAUGAGGGAAGGAGAAAGGAAGAAGUGCGAGAGAGGAGGUGCUGUCCCGCCGUCCUCGCCGUCGCCCCUGGAGACCGUCCCUGCCGCAGCCGGAGCUUCCACUGCCGUCGUCGAGGACUCCAUCGCCGCCACGAGAAGCCACCGCAUGUGGAAGAGAAAGACGUGACACAGAAAAGAGGAAGGGGACGACAUCUCGUUGCCGCCACGCCUUGUCGCCGCCGCUAAAAGGGGAGCUCCGUCGUCGCCGUCGCGGCUACGGGUAUGGGGCUUUGAAGAAGGAGAGAGGAGCUCGCAGAGGAGAGAGAAACGCAAUGGCCAGAGAGAGGAAAGUCUUGCGAGGAGGCGGGAGCUGGUAUGCUUCCGCUGUUGCUGCAGGCUGCGCCACCGCGCCUCUGGUCGCCGGGAACCGCGCUGACGUCAUCGGAAGCCACCGCCGGAAACUCUGCAAGUUUGCCCUAGCUCCGCUUUAUUUCUGCCGGUUUGUCCUUGCCGGUGAGGAUCACCGGAGCUGCUGAUGCUCCAUCCUCUUGUUUCUUUUGGGAUAUAUUAUUGAAAAGCAAGCAUAGGGAUUGAAAAUGUGACCUUUGUUCAUCAGCAUCAACAUUGCCACAAGCUCAUUCUAGUACAAGUCUAAGCCUACCACUAUAGCAAAAUCAUUUCCACAAGUAAUCUGCAAAGGACCUGCAAUUAUCAAGCAUCAGGACCUUAACCAGUUCUAAUUUGACUGCUCAAAGAAUUGUAUCAACUAUGCAAUCAUUUAGCUUCGUUGUUACUUGCUUGGAAAAUUAAAUUGUCUCAUGUAAUUUAAAAUAGAGUAAAUAGCCAUUUUGAUUGUCAACAAUUUCUGAUUUUGACAAAAAAUAGU